This 115-nucleotide ribosomal RNA is filed under the name Alphaproteobacteria bacterium. Lineage: Bacteria; Pseudomonadati; Pseudomonadota; Alphaproteobacteria. The record is from RNAcentral.
UCUGGUGGUUAUAGCGAGAGUGAAACACCCGAUCCCAUCCCGAACUCGGCCGUGAAACCUCUUUGCGACGAUGGUACUUCGUCUUAAGGCGCGGGAGAGUAGUGCGCUGCCAGAU